Non-coding RNA from Bombyx mori (domestic silkworm), 78 nucleotides. The record is from RefSeq and is marked provisional. NCBI's taxonomy places the organism in Eukaryota, Metazoa, Arthropoda, Insecta, Lepidoptera, Bombycidae.
AAUUAUUGAAACGGGAAUGGUCACUUACAACUGUUUUUUCUUUCUAGCUGAAAGUGUCCAUUUCCGUUUUGAUACUAU